UACGGGGGGGGCAAGCGUUGUUCGGAAUUACUGGGCGUAAAGGGCGCGUAGGCGGCUUGUUAAGUCAGACGUGAAAUCCCUCAGCUUAACUGGGGAACUGCGUCUGAUACUGGCGAGCUUGAGUGCAGGAGAGGAACGCGGAAUUCCAGGUGUAGCGGUGAAAUGCGUAGAUAUCUGGAGGAACACCGGUGGCGAAGGCGGCGUUCUGGACUGCAACUGACACUGAGAAACGAAAGCCAGGGUAGCAAACGGG
RNAcentral lists this ribosomal RNA (253 nucleotides) under uncultured bacterium. RNAcentral's name for it is "partial 16S ribosomal RNA". It matches the Rfam family "Bacterial small subunit ribosomal RNA", at positions 524 to 776 of the family's 1533-position model. The record is from RNAcentral.